Molecule: ribosomal RNA, 452 nt
Filed under: Pseudogagrella nigridorsa
Lineage: Eukaryota; Metazoa; Arthropoda; Arachnida; Opiliones; Sclerosomatidae
Description: partial 16S ribosomal RNA
Rfam family: Bacterial large subunit ribosomal RNA
Source: RNAcentral
GCCGCAGUAGCCUGACUGUGCUAAGGUAGCAUAAUCAUUAGGUCUUUUAUUGGGAUCUGGAAUGAAGGAAUAAAUAGAUAGAAGCUGUCUAGUGAAAAAUUUUGAAUUUAAAUUUUUAUAAAUAAUGCUAGAAUGACCUUAUGGGACGAUAAGACCCUAUAAAGCUUAAUUUGUUAGCUUUAAGUGUUUUUGCUGAAUUUAACGUCUUAUUAAUUUGACUGGGGCGGUUGGCAGUGUAACCUGCUUUGACUAUAGUAUUUUUGAUCCAUUAUUAGUGAAAUAAGAAUAAGUUACUUUAGGGAUAACAGCAUAAUAUCCCUAUGGAGUUCUAAUCGAAGGGGAUGAUUGUGACCUCGAUGUUGAAUUAAUCUUAAUGUAUGAUGAAGAAGUUAUAUGUUUUAGUCUGUUCGACUAUUGAAUGAUUACAUGAUUUGAGUUCAAACCGGUGUGAG